This is a long non-coding RNA of Carassius carassius (crucian carp), 1312 nucleotides long. RefSeq lists it as uncharacterized. The record is from RefSeq and is a predicted model, not a curated record. NCBI's taxonomy places the organism in Eukaryota, Metazoa, Chordata, Actinopteri, Cypriniformes, Cyprinidae. The transcript is spliced from 4 exons.
UUGCGGGCGACCCUUACACAAUCAUUAAUUCAAGCUCCUCCGAUAUCACUCUGAACCCAGGGCAUAAUGUGUCCUAAAAGCUGGUGUUAGGUUGCAGUAGCAUCUGCCUAAUAGAUAUUGCAGAGUCUGAACACAAAUGGGCUUCUCUUAAAGUGUGUGCUGUAUCAUUUCACACCGCUCACAGUUUCCUGCCAUUGAUCAAGCCCCACCUAUUCAGCUGAUGGGCCAGAGGAGUAACCCGAUCACCUAACAAGAAAGAAGCAGAGGAGAGAGGAAGGAUAAAAUGAGACAAAUGUAUGGACUGAUGAGAGACUGGAACCUGGGUGAGGUCAAUCCUGCCGUACUCUCUGUGGGUUAAAGCUGCCUGUUUGAGUGACUAGCGGCAGCUCUAUAAAGGCUUGUGAGAUUUGCAGGAAAUAGAGGAGAGAAAUCUGAGGGAGACUGGGAGACGGAGGCCACAGAAGAGCAAGGAGGAACAGGUUGAUAAAAGACAGAGACUGGCCGAACAGAAGGGAGAAGAGAAUUUUUUCCUCAGCGUUGUUAGGACAUUCCCGUAGUUCAGCUUUAAUUAAGCACACUGAGCAAGCAACUGAGGAACAAUGAGACAUCUGUGUAGGUGCAUGCAUGUGUGCGAUUCUGUGGUUGAAAACUGCAGCCAGGAGCAGGUCUUCUUCAGUGAUCGGAUGCUGCUGUUAUACAGAUUCUGAAGACAUGAAGCUGUUGUCGCACUUGUUCAACCGAGGAGUCAAGAUCACAAUUCAUAGUUUGAGAUGGUCUGAGAAAGAAUGUGGAAGAUGUUAGUGGCUAGAAGAUCCUGUGCAAGUGAAGUCUGUAUGGCAUAUAAUUGAUGGACGGAUGGUUGGGUAAAAUCCAACUUGUUUAAUGUCUCUGGAUUGGUCAAAACUGUUUUUGAACUCCUAGAGACCAGUCUGAAUGCUGAUGACAGGUUCUAAAGCUACAACCACUAUUUCUUACUGCUAUAGUAUUUCAGCACUCCGGUGAAGUGCUUGUGAGCAGGUAGAGUGCAAAAAUGUAUCAUCCUUUCACUGAUAAAACAACAGAGAGCAGAAACAGAGCGGCUAUAAAAUCACAGAUUGAUUCCAGAUCUGGAUUUUAUAGUCUGAGGGUUAUAGAAUAUCUGGUCAGCAUGAUUCUGCAGUGCCCCGUCUAUUAUCCAGAUGACCAACUCGCAUAAACCAACUAUUCACAUAAUACUUCAUUCUUUCUUUCAUGACGGAUUCUUUGUUUUUUUUUCUCUCCAGGGUUUAUCCUCUUUUCCCUUUGCUGUGCCUCUACUGGGAUCGAUGUUCUG